GCGUGCUCCUUUUUUUGUAUGACCUCGUUUGAAGAGGACGGUCGGUGUUCAGACGCGGAGGGGGUGCAAGAGGGCGGUGCAAGAGGUGCUGAGAACAGGACGAGCGGCAGCGUCGCCCGGAGCGUAGCGUCGGGGCCCCCGAGCCCGUCGCGUUGGAUAAGGCGUACUAAAGAACGGGAGAGGCAGAAGGGAAGAAGGUAACUCCAGACUUCCUAGCCCCCUAAAAACAGACAAGUUCCUUAACCAAGGACCCAAUAAAAUCAAACAUUUUUUCAUAAAGGAGUUUAUACCACCGGAGAGAUCUAUUACACUCUCCGAACUGAAAUCGGUACAGUAGGUCACGUAAGUAGCCAAGUUCGAAACAUUAGUUCUUUUAACCCGACUUCUUCCGACCCCUAAGACCCCGUUCUCGUUCUCGUCCAAGACCUCCAGUAAGUAUGAACAUACUUGGUAAUACCACCGACCCUUACCAGUGAUACUAAGAACCUCUCUAUCGUUUGAAACGUCGUAUGCGUAAACGGGGACGGUAUGAACAAUGAGGAGAUCCUCGAGACUCGUAUUAUAAAUCACGAGCGUGUGAAGUAGGACUUUCUCUCUAACGUAUACAAACCACAACAACCAACGUAGAACACACAACAACCCAGACAACCAUAUCAAAACGUACGGGGUUUCCUCUCCCUCUAAUUAAGUCACCUCCUUUAUACCGUAAAACGUUGAGUCGGUCCAAAGUAACAAAUAAGUACACACCGACACCAACCACGAGAAAAAAACUAAAAGACCCGACAGUUUGCGAGACCAGUAUCCUUCUACGAGCAGAUAUAACGUUAGACAAGUGAUUACCCUAGUGAGUGCCAAUAGUCGCAUUUUCGUCAACGGUAACGGAACUUCGACAGUAAAUCACUUAGUUUGGUUAAGUAGAUGCAGGUCUGCACCAAGAAGUAUAAACAACAGUAAUAAACGACGAACCACGUCAACUUGAUAAAUUUGUUCCGAGACCUGAGAAAGUUAUGCCGACACCAGAGAGGCCAUAUGAUGCACUACAAGUGGUAAGAAUGCUAAGAGCGAUUGUACUAAUACAUGUUCCUAACCCAAAGUGUCUCACGUUGUGUCUAUCGAUGAGUUGAUACACCCAAGCACUGAUAACAACGUCCCUGAAAAGAUGAAGUGUUCUGAUUGUGGUCGUCGUGUCUAUCUGUACGCCUCUCACGUGGUUGUGGAGGUGGUGGCGGCGGCGGCGGCGGACUAGUUUAAACACACGUCCCUACUUCGGACGAAGGUUCAAUAAUGGAUUGAAGUCGAGGUGCAGAUUGUACAUGGUUUUGUAACUCUGUUGUUCGUGUACCUUAGGCUAACUUACAAUAUAACCAUAUCAUCAUCGUAAAAAACAAUUUCUACAAAGAGAAAAUGGACAUAUCAACUUCACAUACUUAUAUCGGAAGUGAUGUGUACUGAACUUUAAAUACGUCUCUCAAAUAAUAUUUUUUAAACCUUUGCUAUGAUGGUUUGCUUCAAACA
Molecule: ribosomal RNA, 1515 nt
Filed under: Triticum aestivum (bread wheat)
Lineage: Eukaryota; Viridiplantae; Streptophyta; Magnoliopsida; Poales; Poaceae
Description: partial small subunit ribosomal RNA
Source: RNAcentral